UGGGGAAUUUUGGACAAUGGGCGCAAGCCUGAUCCAGCAAUGCCGCGUGAGUGAAGAAGGCCUUCGGGUUGCAAAGCUCUUUUGUCAGGGAAGAAACGGUGAGGGCUAAUAUCCUUUGCUAAUGACGGUACCUGAAGAAUAAGCACCGGCUAACUACGUGCCAGCAGCCGCGGUAAUACGUAGGGUGCAAGCGUUAAUCGGAAUUACUGGGCGUAAAGCGUGCGCAGGCGGUUAUGUAAGUCAGAUGUGAAAUCCCCGGGCUCAACCUGGGAAUGGCAUUUGAGACUGCAUGGCUAGAGUGUGUCAGAGGGGGGUAGAAUUCCACGUGUAGCAGUGAAAUGCGUAGAGAUGUGGAGGAAUACCGAUGGCGAAGGCAGCCCCCUGGGAUAACACUGACGCUCAUGCACGAAAGCGUGGGGAGCAAACAGGAUUAGAUACCCUGGUAGUCCACGCCCUAAACGAUGUCUACUAGUUGUCGGGACUUAAUUGUCUUGGUAACGCAGCUAACGCGUGAAGUAGACCGCCUGGGGAGUACGGUCGCAAGAUUAAAACUCAAAGGAAUUGACGGAAGC
RNAcentral lists this ribosomal RNA (572 nucleotides) under uncultured bacterium. RNAcentral's name for it is "bacterial SSU rRNA". It matches the Rfam family "Bacterial small subunit ribosomal RNA", at positions 355 to 920 of the family's 1533-position model. The record is from RNAcentral.